UACGUAGGGAGCGAGCGUUGUCCGGAAUUACUGGGUGUAAAGGGAGCGUAGGCGGGACGGCAAGUCAGAUGUGAAAACUGAGGGCUCAACCUUCAGACUGCAUUUGAAACUGCUGUUCUUGAGUGAAGUAGAGGUAAGCGGAAUUCCUAGUGUAGCGGUGAAAUGCGUAGAGAUCGGGAGGAACACCAGUGGCGAAGGCGGCCUACUGGGCUUUAACUGACACUGAGGCUCGAAAGUGUGGGUAUCAAACAGG
RNAcentral lists this ribosomal RNA (253 nucleotides) under uncultured Ruminococcus sp. RNAcentral describes it as "partial 16S ribosomal RNA". It matches the Rfam family "Bacterial small subunit ribosomal RNA", at positions 524 to 776 of the family's 1533-position model. The record is from RNAcentral. Lineage: Bacteria; Bacillati; Bacillota; Clostridia; Eubacteriales; Oscillospiraceae.